This 463-nucleotide ribosomal RNA is filed under the name uncultured bacterium. Its description in RNAcentral is "SSU rRNA". It matches the Rfam family "Bacterial small subunit ribosomal RNA", at positions 26 to 521 of the family's 1533-position model. The record is from RNAcentral.
AGCCUGAACGCUGGCGGCGUGGCUAAGACAUGCAAGUCGUACGGUGUAGCAAUACACAGUGGCGAACGGGAGAGUAAUGAAUCGCUAAUGUGCCCCGGACUCUGAGAUAGCUAUCCGAAAGGGUAGGUAAUACCAGAUGACAUCACCUUAUCGCAUGAUAGGGUGCUCAAAGGUCCGCCGGUCUGGGAGCAGGCGAUUUCGUAUCAGCUAGUUGGUGAGGUAACGGCUCACCAAGGCGACGACGCGUAGCCGGACUGAGAGGUUGGCCGGCCUCAUUGGGACUGAGACACUGCCCAGACUCCUACGGGGGGCUGCAGUAACGAAUCUUCCGCAAUGCACGAAAGUGUGACGGAGCGACGCCGCGUGGAGGACGAAGUUCUUCGGAAUGUAAACUCCUGUCAGGGGUAAGAAGUUCUGAUCUACCCCAGAGGAGGCACGGCUAACCCUGCGCAGCAGCCGCGGU